GUCACCCAGAACCGGGCGCUGCAGCUGCUUUAUGAUCUGCGUUACCUCAACAUUGUUCUGACAGCCAAGGCUGACGAGGUGAAGAGUGGCCGGAGCAAGCCAGACUCCAGAAUUGAGAAAGUGACUGACCACCUGGAAGCCCUCAUUGAUCCGUUUGACCUGGACGUUUUCACGCCACACCUCAACAGCAACCUUCAUCGCCUGGUGCAGCGAACUUCUGUUCUGUUUGGAUUGGUGACUGGUACAGAGAAUCAGCUCGCCCCCCGGAGCAGUACGUUCAACUCCCAAGAACCCCAUAACAUCCUGCCACUGGCAUCCAGUCAGAUCAGGUAAAGGCUGCCAAGAGGCUUCUGCCAGGCACUUUGCGAGGCCGAGGCAGGCGGAUCACGAGGUCAGGAGAUCGAGACCAUCCUGGCUAACACGGUGAAACCCUGUCUCUACUAAAAAAAUACAAAAAAUUCCUAUAGUCCCAGCUACUCAGGAGGCUGAGGCAGGAGAAUGGCAUGAACUCGGGAGGCAGAGCUUGCAGUGAGCCGAGACUGCGCCACUGCACUCCAGCCUGGGCGACAGAACGAGACUCCGU
This 583-nucleotide small RNA is filed under the name Pongo abelii (Sumatran orangutan). RNAcentral's name for it is "retained intron". The record is from RNAcentral. Lineage: Eukaryota; Metazoa; Chordata; Mammalia; Primates; Hominidae.